AGAUGGAAGGAUCGAGACAGAGAGAACGAGGGUGAGAAAAGGAGAGAGAGAAAGAGCAACAGCGUAAGCGGAGGAGUGCGCGGCUGUGGUGCGUGUGUCGGUCGGUCGGUCGGUCGUCGCCGCUAUGCUAGUGGUUAGUUUAGUGAACCAAACAUCAUGAUGUGGCAAAACGUUCUCACGAGCUAAAAGCUGGAGCAACGCCGCGUUAACCGGCGCGCCGUCGUUAUGUUAUCCACAAUAACUCACGAGGUUCGAUAAAAAGCGUAAACAUUGUUAAACGCGAAAAGUACAAACAAACAAACACAAGCAAACAAAAAAAAAUCCCUGCGACUAGAGUUCCACGGCAAGGAAGACGACGACGACCACGGCGACGACGACGACGACGACGGCGACGGCGACGGCGACGGCGACGACGACGACGACGACGACGACGACGACGAGAACGACGACGACGACGACAAGGAUAAAGACGACGACAAGGAAAACAACGUACGGUCACCGGUAUAACGACGACGACGACGGCGACGACGACGACGACGACGACGACGACGACGACGACGACGACGACGACGACGAAGACAACCGCGACGACAACAGUGGCAGCGACGACGACGACUCAUUCGUGCUUCUAUCUUCGCAAGUGGGAUUCCGCACUAUGUCAGUCCCGAUGUAAAUUAAAGUUGUAUCGUAUGUGUCGGAGUGAGAGAAUUACGCAAAGAAGAUAUAACCACCCUUACAACGAUAUAUAUCUUGGAAGUGACGAGUGUCAACGAUCAGCCUCCAUCGCGCGGUAAGGAGACGAUCACGAGCGUAUACACGAUGUUGGAUCCAAGCGUAUUGACUGAUUUGGAGGAGCUGACGCUUUGCAAUUAUUGCAAGCAGAAGUACAAUGAUGCCGAGCAAUGUCCAAAAUACCUUAGCUGCAAACACUAUUUCUGUUUGCGUUGCAUAGAAAACAAUUUGUUAAAGGGACGCGAUCUAUUCUGUGCGCACUGUUGGAAGAGGACCGAUCUCGGUGAUCAAGGACCUGAUGCUUUGCCGACUCAUUCUCCGCUCCUUGCCCUAGCCAACAACUUGUCACAUUUAAAGAUCACGUCGAACAACACGUCCAAUAAAUGUGUCGACAAAGAGAGAAAGAGUGAAAAUUGUCACACUCAUGGAAUGCCUUUGGCUCUUUGGUGCGCAACAUGCUGUACGGCACUUUGCAGAGCGUGUGCAACGCCUCAAGAACAUCCGGGACAUCAGAUUAAGUCGCAAACCGAUGCCAAAGAACAACUUAUAUCCGAUGUCCAAUUGGAACUAGUCGCCAUGGGGAAGCUGUCGAACGAGAUACAAAGACUGGCAAUGCAGCAACGAGAAUUCUUAAUAAAAGUAUUAGAGGCAUGCGUGACGCUGAAGACACACGUGGAAACGGAUCUACAAAAUGGCUGGAGUCAUUUUCCAGAAAUUACGGAUGCUCGUGAAACUUUAGGAAAAGCAAAGGCCAGUUUGUCGAUGAUCGAUAGCCCUAGCGACGUUUAUAGCUUGCACUCACAAUUGAUCGUCGAGAAGCAAAGGUUGCAAUCCAAGUACCAAGAGAUGAUGUUGCAAUGUCAAUUGGACGAUCUGAUAGGAAAUUCCGGAGUCGUUUUCGACUUUGCUCUUUUGAAACAAGCGUUGGCGGGUAUACAUACGGGAGAAUCGAUCGUAUCUCAAACGUCGGGCAAUGGCGGUAGAUUGGCCAAUCAUCUAACGGCUUCGCAAAAUCCUAUACUAUUCCUCGCGAAUUAUUGUAUGUCGCAGUUAUACUCGAGACAUCUCGUUAGCAAGCAACACAUGCAAAAUGGCUCGAUCGAAUAUCAUUCGGGUAUGAUGGGCCCGCAACAAGCUCCACCUGUUCACGUUCAUCAAGGUCCACCACAGGCGUCUCAAAACAAUCCUCAGCAACAGCAGCAGUCGCAAUCGCAACAGCAACUUCUUAUCCCACCCGGUUCGCCGUCCGUAAAGCCCGUUCCACCUGCACCACCUAACGCCAUGUUGCAUCCGCAACAACAGUCGACGUUUAUGCCAGAAGCAGUAGGCGCUAGCGGGGCAAGUUUGGUAGCCGUCCACUCGUCCCCUCAACAACCACCGUCCACAGGGAUGGCGGCGUCUCUUCGUGGCCCAUCCAAUCCCUAUCCGCUUUAUUACUUCAACAUAGAAGUCAAUGGAUCUCCUCACGGCCGUAUCGUUAUCGAGGUGAGACCUGACGUCGCGCCAAAGAUGGCGAAGAAUUUUAGCGUAUUAGCAACCGGUGAGGUUGGAGUCGGUUACAAGGGAUGUACGAUAUUUCAAUGCUGGGAAGGGGAGUCGGUGAUAACGGGAGACUUUGAACUUAACAAUGGUCGAGGAGGCAGGAGCAUAUUCGAAGAUGGGUACUUUAUGCCAGACGACACAAAGUUUCCAGCGGUCAGAGGAACCGUGGGAAUGAGAAGAACGCAGAAACGUCAUGAUAAUCUCGGCAUGGUUGGCUCUCAGUUUCGUAUCAUCCUACAAGAAAUGCGAGGAUUCACGGGAAUUUUUGGCCACGUCGUGGAAGGGCUCGAUCUAGUUGAAAAGAUAUCAACGUUUGGUGAUCAGACUGGCAAGCCUACUAAGAAUAUUCUAAUUACGAACUGUGGUAAAUUGUAACGGCUUCUCCAUUACGUUUGGUACCGAAUGGUAACGAAUACCUAAUCAUACCUUACGUUUUUUCCCGUUCUAGGUAAACUAAAGGAAGUGUCGCGACGGUGUCACCGAGAGAAAAUCAAAAAAAAAAGAAACGGGCUUCUUAUGCAUAUUCCUUUUUUUUUUUCUCACCUUUUUUCCCCCCCUAGGUGCGAUAUAGGGAAGUCUUAUGGACGAUAAUAUGUAUGGAGAAUUAUGCGCGUAAUGUCUAACGAAAAGAUAUUAUUAAAUCUCCAUAUGUAAAUUCUCAUUGGAAGACACCGUCGCGACAUACAGUUCCAAAUAAAUCGCGAUGCUCCGUAUGAAAUCACACAACUUAAUUAACUAUUUACAAUAGAAUCUAAAGAUGUUGAAUCUAUUUUUAAACGUGGACGCGUUAGAGAAAAUGAUGCUGCUACUACUACUACUAUUACUAAUAAUAAUGGUGAUGAUGACGACAACGACGGGGACGACGACGACGACGACGACGACGACGACGACGACGACGACGACGACGACGACGACGACGACGACGACGACGACGAAGAUGGCGAAGAUGAUGACGAUGACGAUGACGACGACGACGACGACAAUUAUGACGAUGAUGAUAAAGAUGAAAGAGAGAAGAAAAAAAGAAAUAAAUACCCAUAUUUUGCUAUUGAUCGGGAAUCACGAAGAUUCUAUGUCUACAAUAACGACGAUGAUCGACACAUACGUACCUCAGAUCGAUCGUGAUAUCGAUACGACUUCUAGCUGUACGGUAUUUGUUUUAGAAGAGGUUCGACGUUUAUUUUUGGCUAUCGGCGUAUUGCUACGUAUAGUUUAUAGAGCGUAUCGCGCGCUGCGAAGUUAAAAGUCACGUAUUAUGUCAGGAAGAAAGAGAAAGGUGACAGCAAAACUUCGGUGUGCGCUUCUAAUGUCUUAGGUCGUAGAUAGUAUAAAUCGUGUAAACGGGAAAUAACUAAGAAAUCUUUUUUUUUCUUUUUUUUUUCUUUUUUUUUUUUUUUUUUUUCGUUUUGUUUGUUUUCUUAAGACAAACGUGCUUACGUGUGUAUCUUUUGCGUACGCACGUAAACACGUAAAUCAAAAGAAAGCACAUAAAGGUCGGGGAUUAAAAUAAGGGUCGAAAGACGCGCUUGACUUCGAAUUAUCCGGUAACUGUGAUUCCGUACGCAGGAUCGUUUUAGAAGUUUAACAAAAACUAUCGAACGAUACGUAGGCAAGUUAAGAAGACAAUUCCGUUUCGUCGUCUUAUAAACGAUCGCGUAUCGUUCCAUUCCGGGAGGAAGAGAAAGGAGCCAAAAGGGAAAAAAGAAAAGAAUUAUUUGGGGAUUAGACGUGUACCGAAUAGCAUAGAAGGAAUGAUAAAGAAAUGUUUUGGGUCCCACCGAGAGAGGCUCCAAGAGAUUAUUCCCUUUUUGCUCUUUCUGUCGACUAGUAAAGUCGUCGUAAAUUAACUGUAUUUAAGGUUAGAUCUCAACAUGCAAAUGUAUACAAGGCCUAACUACUACUAUGUAGACCGUAAGCCUCAUCGUCUGAUCCAGAAGACAAAACGAGUGGAAUUAAUGGAUACAUACGUACAAAAACACACACACACACACACACAGCAGACAGACACAAGUACGUAGAUAUAUACGUACACGCAUAUAUAAGGUCAUACACACGUAUACAUAUUAAACGAAAUCAUUCCUCGAUGCUGUAUAUCGAAGUAUUACGAUAAUGUAAUGCGUUAUAGUAUUCGUCUAAAUCCACGUAAAAUCCCAUCGUUAUAUAUCGUACUAUCUCGUGUACAACGCGUGCGAGUGACGCGUUUCUAAAAAAAAAAAAGAAAAAAAAAGAAAAGAAAAAGAAAAAAAGAAAAAGAAAAAAAAAGAACGUGUAAGAACGAAAUGUGCAUUAAAAUGGCAAAGCACAUUACUCUCACACGUAUGUAGGUACAUAUAUGCACGCCCUCGUCGUCGCGGUUGCCUUUUUUGAAGAGAGCCUCAUUCGAUGUUGAACUUGAAAGUUUUAACACUUGUUGAUUAGCUGAAUAAUGCGUCGCGUGCGAUAGGAACGCAUUAUCGCGGCGACGAACGAAUGUAAGAGAGAAUUGCCGUUAGAAUAAUUACAUGAAAGAAGAAAGAAAAAAAAAAUAAGAAAAGAAGUUACACGCAUACAAAAAAAAACAAACAAACAGCAAGCACGCACGCAGGCACACACACACACACACACACAUACAUACAAGAAGUACGUACGACGAUAAGGAGGGUGCUCGUGCUCUCGAGUAAAUUUUUCUCGUUUCGGUGCAAAGAGACAAAGCGAAAGCCGAAUAAUAGUAUAGAGUAAUUUUUUUCUCCAGCUGAGAAAAAACAUACGUAAACAAAGUUCGUAUAUAUCACCGAAACGAGCGAAUGCUACAAGGCCCACCUCUAUAUACACAAAGUGAAAAAAAUAUCCCACACGCGCGCGUAUAUAUACUACAUAUAUUUUUAUGAACGUGAUGAGGUAACAACGCAUAGCUUGUAAUAUCGAUCUUAAAUGACCGACAUUGGUUUACCCUCGCCCCUCGCGUUCGAAUUAAAAACGAUUGAGCGGCUAUAACUCUUAUUAAGUUUUUCCUUGCGAAUCUUCAAAUUCCUUUUUCCUACCUCUGUAUCUCGUGUCCUCUAUCUAUCUUUCUUUACAACGACUUUCUUUUUGUUCCUUAUCUGUUAGUCUGUCUGUCUUCUAUCUAUCUAUCUAUCUAUCUAUCUAUCUAUCUAUCUAUCUAUCUAUAUAUAUAUCUCUUCUCUUCCCUAUCCCUACCGCUCCAUUCCCCCCUCUCUUCCCUUCCACCUAUUAUGUUAAGGCGUAAUGAGCAUUAUAAAAAAAAUCGAAAUAUUUUGUUUAUAGUCUACGGUAAGCGUAUAUCCGUAGGGCUCUCGCUUAAACAAUUUUAUUAUUUCAUUAUACAUGCGUACGAGAUGAACGUUCGUUACCCAACUUAAAUGUACUUUUAAUCGAUAAAUUUUGAGUUAUAAACUGUUUCUCCCUUUCAAA
Vespa mandarinia (Asian giant hornet) is the source of this 5685-nucleotide unclassified non-coding RNA. The record is from RefSeq and is a predicted model, not a curated record. Lineage: Eukaryota; Metazoa; Arthropoda; Insecta; Hymenoptera; Vespidae.